UACGUAGGGGGCAAGCGUUGUCCGGAUUUACUGGGCGUAAAGCGCGUGUAGGCGGGACAGAAAGUCGCGCGUGAAAGGCUCCGGCUCAACCGGAGACGGCCGUGCGAAACUUUCGUUCUUGAGGGUCGAAGAGGAGAGUGGAAUUCCUGGUGUAGCGGUGAAAUGCGUAGAGAUCAGGAGGAACACCCGUGGCGAAGGCGGCUCUCUGGUCGACAUCUGACGCUGAGACGCGAAAGCGUGGGGAGCGAACGGG
Molecule: ribosomal RNA, 253 nt
Filed under: uncultured bacterium
Lineage: Bacteria
Description: partial 16S ribosomal RNA
Rfam family: Bacterial small subunit ribosomal RNA
Source: RNAcentral